GCGGCAUCGUGCAUUUUUCUAGAAAGUCUCCUAAAUCCCGUGUGUAUUUGACAUUUGCAACACAUCUCGAUUCAGAGCAGCCGCCUUCCGAGGACUCGGGGGCUGGUGGCAGCUGUGUGGGACACAGCAGCUGUGGGGAUGGGGCAGAGCAGCAGCCCACAGAGGGCGAGGGCAGGGGCCGGAGACCAGUCAUACCACAGAACCCUGGAGGGGCUUGAGGAAGGGAUGGCAGGAGAGCUGAGGAGCUUCUCUGCCCUGUGGGGCAGGCUGCUGGGUGGGUCAAAGCCCCAGAAGGGCUGCACCUCCAAGAAGGGAGGUAGAGGAGAGGUGGGAGAGAGGAGGGUAGGGAAGGCAGGAGGGGGGCCUUGUUGGCUAAGGGCUGAGGCCUCCCCAGGGAGAAGAGUAGGGCAGCCCAGCAGAGUCCUGCUGGGAAGAGGCCUCACUGGGAGAGGGCCGGACAGAGCCUAUAUCCCAACCCCACUUCAAAGGGGAUAAAGUCUGGAGAGUGUAGAUGGGGGACCUGGGGUGGCAGGACAGGGUCAGAGCUGGGACAGGGGCCCUGUACCCCUGCACCGGGGACAGUGUCCUGGAAUUAGCCCUCAGCUCCUGGCUUUACCUGCACAGGAUGGAGGAGCUGCGCUUGCAUCCUACUGUACUUUGGACAGCUGCUAGGCAUGUGUGACCAGAUCAGCUUCCCGCUGGGCCAGGCUGGCUACCCUGUGUACAAGUAUAGGGCUGUAGGUGCUGUCAUACGUGUCCUGCCACGCCCUGGAGAACAGCAGCCUCGUGAAGGGUGCCCGUCGGGAGCGGCAGCUGCUGUGGCUGGAGCUCUUGAGGUGGCUCCGAACUGGCAACCUCUUCCAUUGCCCCACCUAG
Molecule: long non-coding RNA, 876 nt
Filed under: Homo sapiens (human)
Lineage: Eukaryota; Metazoa; Chordata; Mammalia; Primates; Hominidae
Description: PREDICTED lncRNA (TCONS_00175961)
Source: RNAcentral